RNAcentral lists this non-coding RNA (937 nucleotides) under Leptotyphlops conjunctus. RNAcentral describes it as "partial 12S ribosomal RNA". It matches the Rfam family "Bacterial small subunit ribosomal RNA". Lineage: Eukaryota; Metazoa; Chordata; Lepidosauria; Squamata; Leptotyphlopidae. The record is from RNAcentral.
AGCCCAAGACAAAGUCUUGGUCCUGAACCUACCCCUAUUUCUUCCCCAAACUAUACAUGCAAGUCUCAACAAAACAGUGAGUAACCCACCAAAUCAACAAAGAACAAAUGGAGUAAACAUUAGAUCAGGGGCUUUUCCCCAUCAAAAAAGAAGGCACCGCCCACGCCUACACAGGAAUUCAGCAGUAAUUAACAUUAGGCCAUAAGCGAAAGCUUGACCUAGCCACAGGAAAGGAAAGCCGGUAAAACUCGUGCCAGCUACCGCGGUUAUACGAGAGGCUUAAAAUAGAACAUUUCGGCGAAAACAUGGCCAGAGCGCAUCAAAUAGGCCUAAGGGAAAAAAGGAAAAACAAGCCGUCCAACGCCAAGAGCAAACGAACCCCCCUCCCCUUACCCCAAUGACCCCUUAAACCAUAAAAGCCGGGGAACAAACUAGGAUUAGAGACCCUACUAUGCCCGGCCGUGAAAGGCCCCGCCCGCCCGAUAAAUACGAGCGAAAGCUUAAAACUCAAAGGACUUGACGGUGCCCCAUAUCACCCUAGAGGAGCCUGUCCUGUAAUCGACACCCCACGUUAAAACCUCACCACCCCUAGCCAAACAGCCUAUAUACCGCCGUCGUCAGCUCACCCUGCAAAAGAAUAAAAGUGGGCAAAAUAGUUCACUACACUAAAACGACAGGUCAAAGCGUAGCACACGGGGCGGGCUGAGAUGGGCUACAUUUUCUAAAAUAGACCACACCAAAAAGCGCAUGAAAAACGCCGAACAGGCGGAUUUAGCAGUAAGACGGAGUAGAAAGCCCGCCUGAACACAGCACUGGGACACGCACACACCGCCCGUCACCCCCCUCCACUCGCAACUAAUGUUUCAUAAAGCCAAUGCAUUACUAAGAUGGGGAAAGUCGUAACAAGGUGAGCGUACUGGAAAGUGCGCUCGUGCAC